This 200-nucleotide ribosomal RNA is filed under the name uncultured bacterium. RNAcentral's name for it is "partial 16S ribosomal RNA". It matches the Rfam family "Bacterial small subunit ribosomal RNA", at positions 29 to 224 of the family's 1533-position model. The record is from RNAcentral.
AGUGAACGCUGGCGGUAGGCCUAACACAUGCAAGUCGAACGGCAGCACAGGAGAGCUUGCUCUCUGGGUGGCGAGUGGCGGACGGGUGAGGAAUACAUCGGAAUCUACCUUUUCGUGGGGGAUAACGUAGGGAAACUUACGCUAAUACCGCAUAAGACCUUCGGUUGAAAGCCGGGGACCUUCGGGCCUGGCGCGGAUAG